This 519-nucleotide long non-coding RNA is filed under the name Parus major (Great Tit). RNAcentral's name for it is "lncRNA (ENSPMJG00000000366.1)". The record is from RNAcentral. Lineage: Eukaryota; Metazoa; Chordata; Aves; Passeriformes; Paridae.
CCAUCACAGAACACUGUUGGAAGAAUUUGAUUGUCAAUAAACAUAAAAUUGUAGCUAGAAUCUUCAGGACCUGAAAUGGAUUGCCAUGAACUGAGAGAAAUAGACUUGCCAUACUUUACAGCAACAGGAUAAUCAAUCAACAAGACCCUCCAGCUCUAACAUAUAAUGAUAAGAAGCUAAAAAUAAUCUAGAAUGCAGAAGGCUUAUCCCAUGGUUGCCCAGGCAGAGAGGAUAUAGUAUUCUCCAAGGAGUGGAAGAAAGGGUAUGAAAUCUGGUGUCUUCAUUUCUUUUAUUUACUGGAGAAAUAAGCUAUAGCAUUAAGCUAAUGAUAACUUUUUUUACAUGUCUCAGGUCACACCGACCAUGAGAUCACUUGAUUUACAAGACUUCAUGCAUAAAACUGAAUGGAAUCCAAAUGCUAAGGGGACUCCUGACCAAUAUUCAGUUGUCUUUUUUUCCUCUGAGAAGGCUUUAAUGUCACUUGGGGAACACCAAAGGGAGCUAAUCCAGGCCAUAUGA